Molecule: ribosomal RNA, 354 nt
Filed under: uncultured bacterium
Lineage: Bacteria
Description: bacterial SSU rRNA
Rfam family: Bacterial small subunit ribosomal RNA
Source: RNAcentral
AGAGUUUGAUCAUGGCUCAGGAUGAACGCUAGCUACAGGCUUAACACAUGCAAGUCGAGGGGAAACGACAUCGAAAGCUUGCUUUUGAUGGGCGUCGACCGGCGCACGGGUGAGUAACGCGUAUCCAACCUGCCCACCACUUGGGGAUAACCUUGCGAAAGUAAGACUAAUACCCAAUGACGUCUCUAGAAGACAUCUGAAAGAGAUUAAAGAUUUAUCGGUGAUGGAUGGGGAUGCGUCUGAUUAGCUUGUUGGCGGGGUAACGGCCACCAAGGCGACGACCAGUAGGGGUUCUGGAGAGGAAGGUCCCCCANAUUGGAACUGAGACACGGGUCCAAACGUCCUACGGGAGCA